AUUUAUAUAGUUUAAUUAAAACCUUACUUUUUCAAAGUAAAAUUGAUUUAUUAUCUAUAAAUA
This 63-nucleotide transfer RNA is filed under the name Languriidae sp. KM-2017. RNAcentral describes it as "tRNA-Glu". The record is from RNAcentral. Lineage: Eukaryota; Metazoa; Arthropoda; Insecta; Coleoptera; Erotylidae.